Non-coding RNA from Nicotiana tabacum (common tobacco), 1089 nucleotides. NCBI's taxonomy places the organism in Eukaryota, Viridiplantae, Streptophyta, Magnoliopsida, Solanales, Solanaceae. The record is from RefSeq and is a predicted model, not a curated record.
CAAAGAGUGAGUCACGGGUCAGACACUGCCUCAAAUGACGCAUUCACACGGUAUUUGUAGCAUUUGUAUUGUCCAUGCGUUUCCUAAGGAAAAAGAUGAGAGAGAGUGGGCAUGAUAGAAAUAAGGAAAAGCAAAGGAAAUAAACUUAAAGAAAUUACACACAGAGAAGCAGAUGCGGAGGUAGAGUAUGUCUGUCGGGUUCAUCUGAACCCAAUAUUUUUGUUGCGGUUAAAAAAACUAUCACUAAAUUAAAAAAAAAAAAAGGAAAGAAAGAAAAAUAACGACAUAUAAGAAAUGAGAAAGAUAAUUUUUUAAAUUAAUAUGGAUGUAAAAGAUAAUUCUACAUAUUGAUAAAUCAUAUACUUAGCAUUUUAAUUAGAAUUAGAUUUUAGGUUACUGCAUUUUUUCCUGAUUUUGUUUUUAAAAGAAAAGAGAAGAGAAAGAGUUUUUAAGAACAAAAUUUCACUUACAUAUAUUAUAAUAAAUGAAGAGAAAGUGAGAGGUUGAUACAUGACUUUUUAAGUACAAUUAUAUGUUAGAGGCAUGUAAAUCGAUUAUUUUUUCAUUAGAUAGUAAAACAUCGACUUUGCUAAAAUUUCUCAUAUUCAAAUAACAGAAAUAUGAAAUAAAAGUAAAGCAACUACUAAUGAAAAGAAAAUAAAAUAAAACAAAAAAAAUAUGUGAAAAUUGUAACGUCGUGCUACGCCCGGCCCCCUUUUCAGUAGAUGAGAUUAGGAUGAAAGGGCUUUCUUUCAUUAACAUGCAGUGAAGGUGCAUAGCUUCUUUGAAUGUCCUGCUGAUUGACUACUACAUUUAGGGACGAGACUGAUCCUGAAAGAGAGCUGUUCUGGCUUAUUAGGUUUCAAGAAUCCAAAGGAUACAAGCUUCUCAAGGCUGAGUCGGAAAGCUUUGUUUGUAGAGUCUCUUUCAGUUCAAGUCUUGAAUCAUUUGAUUAUUCUUUUUUCUAUUCCUUCUUGUUAUGCCAUUUUUAGCCUUCAUCUUUGUCUUUUCUUUUCUAUUCAUUAGUUUCCCUCUCAUAUUCUCCAUUCCAAGGAGAACGGAAUACGUCACUUCAGAAUACUUGCUCAA